Molecule: long non-coding RNA, 929 nt
Organism: Acanthopagrus latus (yellowfin seabream)
Lineage: Eukaryota; Metazoa; Chordata; Actinopteri; Spariformes; Sparidae
Exons: 2
Source: RefSeq, a predicted model, not a curated record
AAACAGCGGACCUGGCAACCCGCUACGUCGCGCUGAACAGUACCACUCUCCUCCUCCUCCUCCUCUUCUCCUUCCAGACCUUUCCAUCCUCCACAUCUCCGUGCGGAGGCUCUGAAUCGCAGUUUGUCGACGGAUCCAAAGUGGGAGGCACUGGGGAGACUGGCCACAAGGUGGCGCGUGUCCAUUCUGGUCUUUGGAAAUUAAGGGUGCACCGAUCAGGAAUUUUGGGACCGAUCACCGAUUGAUGGACGCAGUAUCGUGUUGAUGCAGAUCAGCGAUCAAAAGGACGUUUCUUUACUUUAUUGUCAUCUGAACUUGUUAGUUAUUAGUGGGUUUAGUUGAGUUUAGUGUUGAAAUGUUAAGAGAAUAAACAGUAAGGGUUAGGGGCACUUCUGUGUCUCACUAUUUGUAGUGAUGUUUUUGUGUAUUUGUAUACUUUUCACAAACAGAUAAUCCCAAAUGACAAACUGAAUGUUCUACUUCUUCUCCUGCUGUUAAAGCUGUUUAUUAAACAGUACUGAGGAGAGAGAUAACAAUCACUGGCUGACCUCUCUACACGAGAGCUAACGUUGUGAGAAUUGUCCCACGUCACCGGUCCUUCUAUCCCCUCAGUCACAAACAGCUCAGUAACAGGAUCUUUGCUAAAAUGUUGUGAUGGUUAAACCAAGUGGCUGCUGAAAAUCUGUGUUGAUAUAAGAAAGUUAGUUAGCUGUUAGCAGCCAGUGAGCAGCAGAGUCCUGUGGUGUGUGUUAAGCAGCACAUAGAGAAACUGUCUCCUGUGUUUUUCUGGUUGCGUCUUCCGAUGGGUUAGCGCAACCAAGAUGUCCAUUGUGGUCAUUGGAAAUAGUCGUGGUCAACCGUUGUAAACUGACUGAAAAAGCCUGAAUUACACUUAUUUUAAUAAAGGCACAUUUUUAUCACCUUGAAAA